Molecule: long non-coding RNA, 1141 nt
Organism: Armigeres subalbatus
Lineage: Eukaryota; Metazoa; Arthropoda; Insecta; Diptera; Culicidae
Exons: 3
Source: RefSeq, a predicted model, not a curated record
UCAGACUAAAGAGCUUGAAUGAUUGUCUUUCAGCAUUCAGAAAAACCGGUCGGCCAGUUAAAUCACCAAAACGGUAAAAUUUUAAACUUCAUAAUUCCGCAGCUGGAGGUUGCCAGGAUAGUGCAGGGGUGCAGGGCGCAUGCUAGUACCGUACAUAGUGUACUCUCGUGUGUAUUGAAUAUUUUCGGAGAAUGCACGAAGAAGCACAGCAGUCCUCCCAACCCCUCUGCUGGGCGUCCGGAAUUUCUAUAAUUGCGGUACCAUCGCACUCGACAUAUUCACAGAAUUCCAAGCGGUGGUCAUGAAUUCAGAUGCCAACCGCUGCACAGUUCUUCGUUACAAUCCACAACGGAUUCUAGAUUAGCGGGAAUGUACAGCAGAAGCCAUUUUCUCAUCUCACAACGUGAAAUUCGGACGACCGCUUCUGUGCGUGUGUAGCCAAAGACCCAGCACAUUAGUAUACUGCAAAACUCCGAAGGCCGAUAAAGUUCUACGGUGUGUUCCUAAAAGCUUCAACCAGUCGUAGAAAAAAAUACUUUUCCGGGAGCUCCAACAUAAACAUCUUCUCGAUAAUCGAUACUAUUUACAUGCUGCCUCACUUGUCGUAACCGGAUCAUCCUCGUGGAAGUGGCCGUAUAAUGGUGACCUGAAGAAUAAAUAGAUCGAAUAAACUGGAAAAGGAGACAAAAUCAUACAACAAGAUGCAAGAUGUAGAAAUCGCAAGAUGGAAAUGUAACGAGACGCGAAAGGGGAGGCUGAUAUUCCGUUUUGCAUCAAGGGCUGGUAUUUGAUGUUGCUAUCGCAGACUUUGAAGUUUGGUCUUGGUGCGGCCGGUCGCAACGGUUUGACCGAUCGAUCGAAUAACAUCCGGCGCAGCCAUCAUGGGUCAAGCUGUCACUAUAUAUUAUAUAUUAUUGGAUCCUGGUGGUCCUUUUAUUGUCAGUUUACGUGAUUCGGUGCUUGCUGCGAUUGAUCUUCCAACUAAGGAACUGAAUGAUAUUCCCGAUAUUCCAGUUCGCCUGAUAUUGAUACCAUCAGAUCCUGUAUUGCCAUUAAUGAUGAGUCUCCCAACUGCUGGUAAUGCAGUAAUAGCCAAUCAUCAAUCAACAAAAUAACUCGAACUAUUCAAUGAAUAUGUAGA